CGGGAGGUAAUGUCUGGGAAACGUAGCCUGAUGAGGGGGGGUAAUAACUGGAAACGGUAGCUAAUACCGCAUAACGUCGCAAGACCAAAGAGGGGGACCGUUCGGGCCUCAUGCCAUCAGAUGUGCCCAGAUGGGAUUAGCUAGUAGGUGGGGUAACGGCUCACCUAGGCGACGAUCCCUAGCUGGUCUGAGAGGAUGACCAGCCACACUGGAACUGAGACACGGUCCAG
RNAcentral lists this ribosomal RNA (230 nucleotides) under uncultured bacterium. Its description in RNAcentral is "partial 16S ribosomal RNA". It matches the Rfam family "Bacterial small subunit ribosomal RNA", at positions 103 to 334 of the family's 1533-position model. The record is from RNAcentral.